Molecule: transfer RNA, 78 nt
Filed under: Chloroflexi bacterium HGW-Chloroflexi-10
Lineage: Bacteria; Bacillati; Chloroflexota
Description: tRNA-Pro
Rfam family: tRNA
About the family: Transfer RNA (tRNA) molecules are approximately 80 nucleotides in length. Their secondary structure includes four short double-helical elements and three loops (D, anti-codon, and T loops).
Source: RNAcentral
CGGGGCGUGGCUCAGCCCGGAUAGAGUGCGCGGUUCGGGAUCGCGAGGUCGGAGGUUCAAAUCCUCUCGCCCCGACUA